GGGUUGUGAGGUUAAGCGACUAAGCGUACACGGUGGAUGCCCUGGCAGUCAGAGGCGAUGAAGGACGUGCUAAUCUGCGAUAAGCGUCGGUAAGGUGAUAUGAACCGUUAUAACCGGCGAUUUCCGAAUGGGGAAACCCAGUGUGAUUCGUCACACUAUCAUUAACUGAAUCCAUAGGUUAAUGAGGCGAACCGGGGGAACUGAAACAUCUAAGUACCCCGAGGAAAAGAAAUCAACCGAGAUUCCCCCAGUAGCGGCGAGCGAACGGGGAGCAGCCCAGAGCCUGAAUCAGUGUGUGUGUUAGUGGAAGCGUCUGGAAAGGCGCGCGAUACAGGGUGACAGCCCCGUACACAAAAAUGCACAUACUGUGAGCUCGAUGAGUAGGGCGGGACACGUGGUAUCCUGUCUGAAUAUGGGGGGACCAUCCUCCAAGGCUAAAUACUCCUGACUGACCGAUAGUGAACCAGUACCGUGAGGGAAAGGCGAAAAGAACCCCGGCGAGGGGAGUGAAAAAGAACCUGAAACCGUGUACGUACAAGCAGUGGGAGCACAGAGCAAUCUGUGUGACUGCGUACCUUUUGUAUAAUGGGUCAGCGACUUAUAUUCUGUAGCAAGGUUAACCGAAUAGGGGAGCCGAAGGGAAACCGAGUCUUAACUGGGCGUUAAGUUGCAGGGUAUAGACCCGAAACCCGGUGAUCUAGCCAUGGGCAGGUUGAAGGUUGGGUAACACUAACUGGAGGACCGAACCGACUAAUGUUGAAAAAUUAGCGGAUGACUUGUGGCUGGGGGUGAAAGGCCAAUCAAACCGGGAGAUAGCUGGUUCUCCCCGAAAGCUAUUUAGGUAGCGCCUCGUGAAUUCAUCUCCGGGGGUAGAGCACUGUUUCGGCAAGGGGGUCAUCCCGACUUACCAACCCGAUGCAAACUGCGAAUACCGGAGAAUGUUAUCACGGGAGACACACGGCGGGUGCUAACGUCCGUCGUGAAGAGGGAAACAACCCAGACCGCCAGCUAAGGUCCCAAAGUCAUGGUUAAGUGGGAAACGAUGUGGGAAGGCCCAGACAGCCAGGAUGUUGGCUUAGAAGCAGCCAUCAUUUAAAGAAAGCGUAAUAGCUCACUGGUCGAGUCGGCCUGCGCGGAAGAUGUAACGGGGCUAAACCAUGCACCGAAGCUGCGGCAGCGACGCUUAUGCGUUGUUGGGUAGGGGAGCGUUCUGUAAGCCUUUGAAGGUGUACUGUGAGGUAUGCUGGAGGUAUCAGAAGUGCGAAUGCUGACAUAAGUAACGAUAAAGCGGGUGAAAAGCCCGCUCGCCGGAAGACCAAGGGUUCCUGUCCAACGUUAAUCGGGGCAGGGUGAGUCGACCCCUAAGGCGAGGCCGAAAGGCGUAGUCGAUGGGAAACAGGUUAAUAUUCCUGUACUUGGUGUUACUGCGAAGGGGGGACGGAGAAGGCUAUGUUGGCCGGGCGACGGUUGUCCCGGUUUAAGCGUGUAGGCUGGUUUUCCAGGCAAAUCCGGAAAAUCAAGGCUGAGGCGUGAUGACGAGGCACUACGGUGCUGAAGCAACAAAUGCCCUGCUUCCAGGAAAAGCCUCUAAGCAUCAGGUAACAUCAAAUCGUACCCCAAACCGACACAGGUGGUCAGGUAGAGAAUACCAAGGCGCUUGAGAGAACUCGGGUGAAGGAACUAGGCAAAAUGGUGCCGUAACUUCGGGAGAAGGCACGCUGAUAUGUAGGUGAAGUCCCUCGCGGAUGGAGCUGAAAUCAGUCGAAGAUACCAGCUGGCUGCAACUGUUUAUUAAAAACACAGCACUGUGCAAACACGAAAGUGGACGUAUACGGUGUGACGCCUGCCCGGUGCCGGAAGGUUAAUUGAUGGGGUCAGCGCAAGCGAAGCUCUUGAUCGAAGCCCCGGUAAACGGCGGCCGUAACUAUAACGGUCCUAAGGUAGCGAAAUUCCUUGUCGGGUAAGUUCCGACCUGCACGAAUGGCGUAAUGAUGGCCAGGCUGUCUCCACCCGAGACUCAGUGAAAUUGAACUCGCUGUGAAGAUGCAGUGUACCCGCGGCAAGACGGAAAGACCCCGUGAACCUUUACUAUAGCUUGACACUGAACAUUGAGCCUUGAUGUGUAGGAUAGGUGGGAGGCUUUGAAGUGUGGACGCCAGUCUGCAUGGAGCCGACCUUGAAAUACCACCCUUUAAUGUUUGAUGUUCUAACGUGGACCCGUAAUCCGGGUUGCGGACAGUGUCUGGUGGGUAGUUUGACUGGGGCGGUCUCCUCCUAAAGAGUAACGGAGGAGCACGAAGGUUGGCUAAUCCUGGUCGGACAUCAGGAGGUUAGUGCAAUGGCAUAAGCCAGCUUGACUGCGAGCGUGACGGCGCGAGCAGGUGCGAAAGCAGGUCAUAGUGAUCCGGUGGUUCUGAAUGGAAGGGCCAUCGCUCAACGGAUAAAAGGUACUCCGGGGAUAACAGGCUGAUACCGCCCAAGAGUUCAUAUCGACGGCGGUGUUUGGCACCUCGAUGUCGGCUCAUCACAUCCUGGGGCUGAAGUAGGUCCCAAGGGUAUGGCUGUUCGCCAUUUAAAGUGGUACGCGAGCUGGGUUUAGAACGUCGUGAGACAGUUCGGUCCCUAUCUGCCGUGGGCGCUGGAGAACUGAGGGGGGCUGCUCCUAGUACGAGAGGACCGGAGUGGACGCAUCACUGGUGUUCGGGUUGUCAUGCCAAUGGCACUGCCCGGUAGCUAAAUGCGGAAGAGAUAAGUGCUGAAAGCAUCUAAGCACGAAACUUGCCCCGAGAUGAGUUCUCCCUGACUCCUUGAGAGUCCUGAAGGAACGUUGAAGACGACGACGUUGAUAGGCCGGGUGUGUAAGCGCAGCGAUGCGUUGAGCUAACCGGUACUAAUGAACCGUGAGGCUUAACCUUACAACGCCGAAGGUGUUU
This 2933-nucleotide ribosomal RNA is filed under the name Escherichia coli. RNAcentral's name for it is "bacterial LSU rRNA". It matches the Rfam family "Bacterial large subunit ribosomal RNA". The record is from RNAcentral. Lineage: Bacteria; Pseudomonadati; Pseudomonadota; Gammaproteobacteria; Enterobacterales; Enterobacteriaceae.